Molecule: ribosomal RNA, 620 nt
Filed under: Pichia fermentans
Lineage: Eukaryota; Fungi; Ascomycota; Pichiomycetes; Pichiales; Pichiaceae
Description: LSU rRNA
Rfam family: Eukaryotic large subunit ribosomal RNA
Source: RNAcentral
ACCAAGCUCGACCUCAGAUCAGGCAGGAGUACCCGCUGAACUUAAGCAUAUCAAUAAGCGGAGGAAAAGAAACCAACAGGGAUUGCCCCAGUAGCGGCGAGUGAAGCGGCAAAAGCUCAGAUUUGGAAUCGCUUCGGCGAGUUGUGAAUUGCAGGUUGGCGCCUCUGCGGCGGCGGCGGUCCAAGUCCCUUGGAACAGGGCGCCAUUGAGGGUGAGAGCCCCGUGGGACCGUUUGCCUAUGCUCUGAGGCCCUUCUGACGAGUCGAGUUGUUUGGGAAUGCAGCUCUAAGCGGGUGGUAAAUUCCAUCUAAGGCUAAAUACUGGCGAGAGACCGAUAGCGAACAAGUACUGUGAAGGAAAGAUGAAAAGCACUUUGAAAAGAGAGUGAAACAGCACGUGAAAUUGUUGAAAGGGAAGGGUAUUGCGCCCGACAUGGAGCGUGCGCACCGCUGCCCCUCGUGGGCGGCGCUCUGGGCAUGCUCUGGGCCAGCAUCGGUUUUUGCCGCGGGAGAAGGGCGGCGGGCAUGUAGCUCUUCGGAGUGUUAUAGCCUGCCGCCGGCGCCGCGAGCGGGGACCGAGGACUGCGACUUUUGUCUCGGAUGCUGCACAACAGGCGCAAC